This 492-nucleotide ribosomal RNA is filed under the name uncultured bacterium. RNAcentral's name for it is "partial 16S ribosomal RNA". It matches the Rfam family "Bacterial small subunit ribosomal RNA", at positions 29 to 507 of the family's 1533-position model. The record is from RNAcentral.
AGUGAACGCUGGCGGUAGGCCUAACACAUGCAAGUCGAACGGCAGCACAGUAAGAGCUUGCUCUUACGGGUGGCGAGUGGCGGACGGGUGAGGAAUACAUCGGAAUCUACUUUUUCGUGGGGGGUAACGUAGGGAAACUUACGCUAAUACCGCAUACGACCUACGGGUGAAAGAAGGGGAUCUUCGGACCUUGCGCGAUUGAAUGAGCCGAUGUCGGAUUAGCUAGUUGGCGGGGUAAAGGCCCACCAAGGCGACGAUCCGUAGCUGGUCUGAGAGGAUGAUCAGCCACACUGGAACUGAGACACGUUCCAGACUCCUACGGGAGGCAGCAGUGGGGAAUAUUGGACAAUGGGCGCAAGCCUGAUCCAGCCAUACCGCGUGGGUGAAGAAGGCCUUCGGGUUGUAAAGCCCUUUUGUUGGGAAAGAAAAGCAGCAGGUUAAUACCCCGCUGUUCUGACGGUACCCAAAGAAUAAGCACCGGCUAACUUCGUG